AGAUCAAUCUGGUAUUUGCAAGACACCUGGACGAAUUACUCCCAGUUUGUAUAACCAAAUGGCAUCUGCAGUAAACUUGAGCUAUGGGUUGCGUCGUUAUGGCCCUUUCUUGGUUAACUUAGAAGACUGCACUUUCGUUCGGCAAACUCUUACCGUGAUCACCCACUCAUAUUGUCCGAAUUUGAGGCGAUAUGCUGAAUGGAUCUAUGUUGGGCUAGUGAUGGCAUCUGCUGCUGUAAUGCUGUCAUUGAUCUUCUGGGUAAUCUAUGCAAGAGAGCGAAGGCAUCGCGUAUAUACCAAGCAGCAGCUCAUUUCUAGAGGCUUGGAAGGCCGAGACAAGGCCCCAUAGAGAUGUGCUAAUUUAGUUAUUGGGUUGCUUUAUUCUGUGUAUACCUUUGGUAGCAUAUAUGGCAAUAUUUUUGGACUUUGUACGUUACAAGUCCCCCAUAGGCUUGGCUAUUUACUAAUACUCGGUAUAGCUCUCUU
RNAcentral lists this unclassified non-coding RNA (486 nucleotides) under Hevea brasiliensis (rubber tree). The record is from RNAcentral. Lineage: Eukaryota; Viridiplantae; Streptophyta; Magnoliopsida; Malpighiales; Euphorbiaceae.